CAAUAGCGUAUAUUUAAGUUGUUGCAGUUAAAAAGCUCGUAGUUGGAUUUCUGGUGGGAGCGGCCGGUCCGCCGUAAGGUGUGUACUUGGUUGUCUCCUGUCAUCCUUGUGGGAACUGCUCUGGCAUUAAGUUGUCGGGGUUAGGGAACACAUCGUUUACUGUGAAAAAAUUAGAGUGUUUAAAGCAGGCUUAUGCCGUUGAAUACAUUAGCAUGGAAUAAUAAGAUAGGACUUUGGCGUCUAUUUUGUUGGUUUGCACACCAAGGUAAUGAUUAAUAGGGAUAGUUGGGGGUAUUCGUAUUUAAUUGUCAGAGGUGAAAUUCUUGGAUUUAUGAAAGACGAACUUCUGCGAAAGCAUUUACCAAAGAUGUUUNCAUUA
Molecule: ribosomal RNA, 379 nt
Filed under: uncultured eukaryote
Lineage: Eukaryota
Description: partial 18S ribosomal RNA
Rfam family: Eukaryotic small subunit ribosomal RNA
Source: RNAcentral